This 496-nucleotide ribosomal RNA is filed under the name uncultured bacterium. RNAcentral's name for it is "partial 16S ribosomal RNA". It matches the Rfam family "Bacterial small subunit ribosomal RNA", at positions 30 to 507 of the family's 1533-position model. The record is from RNAcentral.
AUUGAACGCUGGCGGCAUGCCUAACCAAUCAAAGUCAACCGACAGACGGGUAACUUGCCCCGUGGACGUCGGCGGAGGACUGGAUAGUAACACGUGGAUUACCUGCCGAUAAGACGGGGAUAACUGCGUUAAUCCGGCAUACAUCCUAAGGAAUAUAGGGGACCGUCGGGUGCCAUCUUGCUAUUCGGGUUUCCGGUCACUGAUUGGUGAGUCCGCGCCGCAUUAGCUAGCUGGUAAGGUAACCGCUUACCAAGGCAAGGAUGCGUAGCCGACCUGAGAGGGUGAUCGGCCACACUGGAAAUGAGACACGGUCCAGACUCCUAAGGGAGGCAGCCGUAGGGAAUCUUCCGCAAUGGGCGAAAGCCUGACGGAGCCACGCCGCGUGGGUGAAGAAGGUCUUCGGAUUGUAAAACUCUGUUAGUCGGGAAGAACAAAUGUGUGAGUAACUCUGCACGUCUUGACGGUAACUAAACAGAAAGCCACGGCUAACUUCGUG